Cyprinodon variegatus (sheepshead minnow) is the source of this 1150-nucleotide long non-coding RNA. RefSeq lists it as uncharacterized. The record is from RefSeq and is a predicted model, not a curated record. The transcript is spliced from 3 exons. Lineage: Eukaryota; Metazoa; Chordata; Actinopteri; Cyprinodontiformes; Cyprinodontidae.
GGGGGCCUUAAAUCUUGCAUAACUUUACGGGUAUAAAGAGGGGUGAUAAUGUGAAGAAACCCGACUCCUUGUUGCAGAAAUUAUUUUAAAAAAACAUCUAGAGGGUUAUAAUUUUAAAAUGGCAAUAUUUGACCCGUUUUUUUGUUUGUUUUUUCUUUUUAGUGAAGAGGAGCAAGAAGCAUCACUUGGAUUAUUCCGGACCGUGUUGAACGAAUGGCUUUAGGUUUAUUGGUGAUCGGGGAUUUAUUUUUUUGUUCUUGGUGAAAUACUUGCGAAAGAAAAAAAAACUAAAUGGUGUAGAAAUGUGUUCGGUGAAGAAAAUAAAAAAGCCUCGUCGUUUUUAACUUACAGGCAGCUCGAGAUGAGAUAUGGGACAUUUCAUUCAGCCUGGAGAUUGGCUGCGUGGGAACGAAAAUGGCUACCGCUUUGAAUGAAAGAGUUAAUGACGGAGCUGUUAUCAGCGGGCUGCAGACCUGCUCAGAUCUGCGCUCUGAGCUGUCUGAUGGAGUGCGCCUCAGGAUGAAAAGAGCAGCUCUGACACCGCGGGCCCCCGGGUCACAGCGACUGCGCAGCUUCCCAGCCCUCCAAUUUAACACAUGAAAAUAUUAAUAUUAUUAAUGAUAAUUUAUUUUCAAUGAAAACAAUUUAAAGUAAACGGAAAAAUUUAGAUUUUUAAGAGGCCCCACAUAUUUUGGUGUUUGGUAUAACUCCUAAAUCUGCAAACUGGAGAGUGAUGCAUGCUGCAGUUCAUCACCCAUGCUGACUGUCACCAUUGGGUCAGCGUGCCAAGUCCCGGGAGGAUCCAUCCAAGUCGAUAUGACCAAUCAUAGCUUCUUAUCGUUGCUGUCAAGGUGGUUAUGUGUUUGACCCACAUGUCCGAGGGUGAUACAAAAAUAAAUCCAGGUUACCAUGUGCACACACACAUUGUGAUCAUAUCUAUUUUCUCCAGUUCCAAUAGCAUAUUCAUCCCUCUGCUUCUUCCUCCUCUUCCUCCACUCAAUAUUUCAGCCUCCCGACUCUCCCUUUUCGCAUUACACACAUGAGCGAGCUGGCACAAGGUUCUCCGCCCUCGUGUAACUCAGCCCCCAUCCUCCACCCAGCUUUAGCACCCCCCUCUCACCCAAUUGUUCUUUCAAAAUUCACAAAAUUA